RNAcentral lists this transfer RNA (67 nucleotides) under Orthotomicus laricis. RNAcentral describes it as "tRNA-Trp". The record is from RNAcentral. Lineage: Eukaryota; Metazoa; Arthropoda; Insecta; Coleoptera; Curculionidae.
AAGAAUUUAAGUUAAAAAAACUCUUAACCUUCAAAGUUAAAGAUAGGCCCGGCAGACCUAAUUCUUA